UACAGAGGGUGCAAGCGUUGUUCGGAAUUAUUGGGCGUAAAGCGCGUGUAGGCGGCUUUGCAAGUCGGGUGUGAAAGCCCUCAGCUCAACUGAGGAAGUGCGCCCGAAACUGCAGAGCUUGAGUGCCGGAGAGGGUGGCGGAAUUCCCUGUGUAGCGGUGAAAUGCGUAGAGAUGGGGGAGAACACUCGUGGCGAAGGCGGCCAGCUAGACCAGUUCUGACACUGAGGCGCGACAGCGUGGGGAGCAAACAGG
RNAcentral lists this ribosomal RNA (253 nucleotides) under uncultured bacterium. Its description in RNAcentral is "partial 16S ribosomal RNA". It matches the Rfam family "Bacterial small subunit ribosomal RNA", at positions 524 to 776 of the family's 1533-position model. The record is from RNAcentral.